RNAcentral lists this ribosomal RNA (2919 nucleotides) under Klebsiella pneumoniae. Its description in RNAcentral is "partial 23S ribosomal RNA". It matches the Rfam family "Bacterial large subunit ribosomal RNA". The record is from RNAcentral. Lineage: Bacteria; Pseudomonadati; Pseudomonadota; Gammaproteobacteria; Enterobacterales; Enterobacteriaceae.
GGUUAAGCGACUAAGCGUACACGGUGGAUGCCCUGGCAGUCAGAGGCGAUGAAGGACGUGCUAAUCUGCGAAAAGCGUCGGUAAGGUGAUAUGAACCGUUAUAACCGGCGAUGUCCGAAUGGGGAAACCCAGUGCAAUUCGUUGCACUAUCGUUAACUGAAUACAUAGGUUAACGAGGCGAACCGGGGGAACUGAAACAUCUAAGUACCCCGAGGAAAAGAAAUCAACCGAGAUUCCCCCAGUAGCGGCGAGCGAACGGGGAGCAGCCCAGAGUCUGAAUCAGCUUGUGUGUUAGUGGAACGGUCUGGAAAGUCCGACGGUACAGGGUGAUAGUCCCGUACACCAAAAUGCACAGGCUGUGAACUCGAAGAGUAGGGCGGGACACGUGGUAUCCUGUCUGAAUAUGGGGGGACCAUCCUCCAAGGCUAAAUACUCCUGACUGACCGAUAGUGAACCAGUACCGUGAGGGAAAGGCGAAAAGAACCCCGGCGAGGGGAGUGAAAAAGAACCUGAAACCGUGUACGUACAAGCAGUGGGAGCACCUUCGGGUGUGACUGCGUACCUUUUGUAUAAUGGGUCAGCGACUUAUAUUCUGUAGCAAGGUUAACCGUAUAGGGGAGCCGCAGGGAAACCGAGUCUUAACUGGGCGUUAAGUUGCAGGGUAUAGACCCGAAACCCGGUGAUCUAGCCAUGGGCAGGUUGAAGGUUGGGUAACACUAACUGGAGGACCGAACCGACUAAUGUUGAAAAAUUAGCGGAUGACUUGUGGCUGGGGGUGAAAGGCCAAUCAAACCGGGAGAUAGCUGGUUCUCCCCGAAAGCUAUUUAGGUAGCGCCUCGUGAAUUCAUCUUCGGGGGUAGAGCACUGUUUCGGCUAGGGGGUCAUCCCGACUUACCAACCCGAUGCAAACUACGAAUACCGAAGAAUGUUAUCACGGGAGACACACGGCGGGUGCUAACGUCCGUCGUGAAGAGGGAAACAACCCAGACCGCCAGCUAAGGUCCCAAAGUCAUGGUUAAGUGGGAAACGAUGUGGGAAGGCACAGACAGCCAGGAUGUUGGCUUAGAAGCAGCCAUCAUUUAAAGAAAGCGUAAUAGCUCACUGGUCGAGUCGGCCUGCGCGGAAGAUGUAACGGGGCUAAACCAUGCACCGAAGCUGCGGCAGCGACACUAUGUGUUGUUGGGUAGGGGAGCGUUCUGUAAGCCUGCGAAGGUGUGCUGUGAGGCAUGCUGGAGGUAUCAGAAGUGCGAAUGCUGACAUAAGUAACGAUAAAGCGGGUGAAAAGCCCGCUCGCCGGAAGACCAAGGGUUCCUGUCCAACGUUAAUCGGGGCAGGGUGAGUCGACCCCUAAGGCGAGGCCGAAAGGCGUAGUCGAUGGGAAACAGGUUAAUAUUCCUGUACUUGGUGUUACUGCGAAGGGGGGACGGAGAAGGCUAUGUUAGCCGGGCGACGGUUGUCCCGGUUUAAGCAUGUAGGCUGGUUAUCCAGGCAAAUCCGGAUAAUCAAGGCUGAGGUGUGAUGACGAGGCACUACGGUGCUGAAGUAACAAAUGCCCUGCUUCCAGGAAAAGCCUCUAAGCAUCAGGUAACAUCAAAUCGUACCCCAAACCGACACAGGUGGUCAGGUAGAGAAUACCAAGGCGCUUGAGAGAACUCGGGUGAAGGAACUAGGCAAAAUGGUGCCGUAACUUCGGGAGAAGGCACGCUGGUGUGUAGGUGAAGUCCCUGCGGAUGGAGCUGAGACCAGUCGAAGAUACCAGCUGGCUGCAACUGUUUAUUAAAAACACAGCACUGUGCAAACACGAAAGUGGACGUAUACGGUGUGACGCCUGCCCGGUGCCGGAAGGUUAAUUGAUGGGGUUAUCCGUAAGGAGAAGCUCUUGAUCGAAGCCCCGGUAAACGGCGGCCGUAACUAUAACGGUCCUAAGGUAGCGAAAUUCCUUGUCGGGUAAGUUCCGACCUGCACGAAUGGCGUAAUGAUGGCCAGGCUGUCUCCACCCGAGACUCAGUGAAAUUGAACUCGCUGUGAAGAUGCAGUGUACCCGCGGCAAGACGGAAAGACCCCGUGAACCUUUACUAUAGCUUGACACUGAACAACCUUUACUAUAGCUUGACACUGAACAUUGAGCCUUGAUGUGUAGGAUAGGUGGGAGGCUUUGAAGCGUGGACGCCAGUCUGCGUGGAGCCAACCUUGAAAUACCACCCUUUAAUGUUUGAUGUUCUAACGUUGGCCCCUGACCGGGGUUGCGGACAGUGUCUGGUGGGUAGUUUGACUGGGGCGGUCUCCUCCCAAAGCGUAACGGAGGAGCACGAAGGUUAGCUAAUCCUGGUCGGACAUCAGGAGGUUAGUGCAAUGGCAUAAGCUAGCUUGACUGCGAGCGUGACGGCGCGAGCAGGUGCGAAAGCAGGUCAUAGUGAGAAAGCAGGUCAUAGUGAUCCGGUGGUUCUGAAUGGAAGGGCCAUCGCUCAACGGAUAAAAGGUACUCCGGGGAUAACAGGCUGAUACCGCCCAAGAGUUCAUAUCGACGGCGGUGUUUGGCACCUCGAUGUCGGCUCAUCACAUCCUGGGGCUGAAGUAGGUCCCAAGGGUAUGGCUGUUCGCCAUUUAAAGUGGUACGCGAGCUGGGUUUAGAACGUCGUGAGACAGUUCGGUCCCUAUCUGCCGUGGGCGCUGGAGAAUUGAGGGGGGCUGCUCCUAGUACGAGAGGACCGGAGUGGACGCAUCACUGGUGUUCGGGUUGUCAUGCCAAUGGCACUGCCCGGUAGCUAAAUGCGGAAGAGAUAAGUGCUGAAAGCAUCUAAGCACGAAACUUGCCCCGAGAUGAGUUCUCCCUGAGACUUUAAGUCUCCUGAAGGAACGUUGAAGACGACGACGUUGAUAGGCCGGGUGUGUAAGCGCAGCGAUGCGUUGAGCUAACCG